GCCGGGAUGGCCGAGGAGGUUAGGCAGGCGGCUGCAGACCGCUACACGGGGGUUCAAUUCCCUCUCCCGGCUCCA
This 75-nucleotide transfer RNA is filed under the name Candidatus Bathyarchaeota archaeon. RNAcentral describes it as "tRNA-Cys". It matches the Rfam family "tRNA". From Rfam's summary of the family: Transfer RNA (tRNA) molecules are approximately 80 nucleotides in length. Their secondary structure includes four short double-helical elements and three loops (D, anti-codon, and T loops). The record is from RNAcentral. Lineage: Archaea; Thermoproteati; Candidatus Bathyarchaeota.